This 1044-nucleotide long non-coding RNA is filed under the name Olea europaea (common olive). RNAcentral's name for it is "long non-coding RNA (OEUR_LNC009085)". The record is from RNAcentral. Lineage: Eukaryota; Viridiplantae; Streptophyta; Magnoliopsida; Lamiales; Oleaceae.
GUCCAGUCAUAGCAUUUGAAGCAGUAUACUUUGCCUACUACCUUGACAACGAAAGGAUGGUGUGGUGGGUAGUGGGGAACUGGUGGUGGUGGAGGAGAAGUGUAGUAGUAUGGUGGAGGUGGAGAUUUCUUUGGUGGUGGGGGAGACACAUAAUAGUAUGGAGGAGGUGGUGAUUUAACUGGUGGAGGUGGAGAGGUGUAGUAGUAUGGUGGUGGUGGAGACUUCUUUGGUGGUGGGGGAGACACAUAAUGGUAUGGAGGUGGUGAUUUAACUGGUGGAGGUGGAGAGGUGUAGUAGUAUGGUGGUGGUGGAGACUUCUUUGGUGGUGGGGGAGACUCAUAAUGGUAUGGAGGAGGUGGUGAUUUAACUGGUGGAGGUGGAGAGGUGUAGUAGUAUGGUGGUGGUGGAGACUUCUUUGGUGGUGGGGGAGACACAUAAUAGUAUGGAGGAGGUGGUGAUUUAACUGGUGGAGGUGGAGAGGUGUAGUAGUAUGGUGGUGGAGGGGACUUCACUGGUGGUGGUGGAGAAGUGUAGUAGUAAGGAGGAGGUGGAGACUUAGUGGGUGGUGGUGGAGAUUUGUAAUAGUAUGGUGGAAGUGGUGAUGGUGAGGGGGGUGGUGGAGAUUUGUAGUAGUAUGGUGGUGGAGGAGAGGGUGAAGGUGGUGGUGGCGAUUUGUAGUAGUAUGGUGGUGGUGGUGAGGGAGAAGGUGGUGGUGGAGAUUUGUAAUAAUAUGGUGGAUGUGGUGAGGGGGAGGGUGGAGGGGGAGAUUUAUAGUAAUAUGGUGGAGGUGGUGGCGGUGACUUAUAGACAUAAGGAGGUGGUGGUGGUGACUUGUACACGUAAGGUGAUGGUGAUGGUGAGGGUGGUGGAGGAGAUUUAUACACAUAAGGUGGUGGUGGAGAUGGAGAAGGAGGUGGUGGUGACUUGUACUCAUAUGGCGGUGGUGGAGAUGGAGAAGGAGGCGGUGGCGACUUGUACUCAUAGGGCGGCGGUGGCGGCGACUUGUACUCGUAAGGAGGUGGUGGAGAUGAAUAAACAUAUGGG